AGCGAACGCUGGCGGCAGGCCUAACACAUGCAAGUCGAACGGACCCUUCGGGGUUAGUGGCGGACGGGUGAGUAACACGUGGGAACGUGCCUUUAGGUUCGGAAUAGCUCCUGGAAACGGGUGGUAAUGCCGAAUGUGCCCUUCGGGGGAAAGAUUUAUCGCCUUUAGAGCGGCCCGCGUCUGAUUAGCUAGUUGGUGAGGUAACGGCUCACCAAGGCGACGAUCAGUAGCUGGUCUGAGAGGAUGACCAGCCACACUGGGACUGAGACACGGCCCAGACUCCUACGGGAGGCAGCAGUGGGGAAUCUUGCGCAAUGGGCGAAAGCCUGACGCAGCCAUGCCGCGUGAAUGAUGAAGGUCUUAGGAUUGUAAAAUUCUUUCACCUGGGACGAUAAUGACGGUACCCGGAGAAGAAGCCCCGGCUAACUUCGUG
Molecule: ribosomal RNA, 433 nt
Filed under: uncultured bacterium
Lineage: Bacteria
Description: partial 16S ribosomal RNA
Rfam family: Bacterial small subunit ribosomal RNA
Source: RNAcentral